This is a long non-coding RNA of Sebastes umbrosus (honeycomb rockfish), 243 nucleotides long. RefSeq lists it as uncharacterized. The transcript is spliced from 3 exons. NCBI's taxonomy places the organism in Eukaryota, Metazoa, Chordata, Actinopteri, Perciformes, Sebastidae. The record is from RefSeq and is a predicted model, not a curated record.
AAAACAUGACAAAGUGCCCUCUAGGGUGCCCUUCCAGUAGAGAAAAUAUGAUAAAGUGCCCUUUAGGGUGCCCUUCCAGUAGAGAAAACAUGACAAGGUGCCCUCUAGGGUGCCCUUCCAACAGAGAAAACCUGAUAAAGUGCCAUCUAGGGUGCCCCUCUAGUAGAGAAAACAUGAUAAAGUGCCUUUUAGGGGGCCCUCCCAGUAGAGAAAACCUGAUAAAGUGCCCUCUAGGGUGGCCUU